RNAcentral lists this ribosomal RNA (1235 nucleotides) under metagenome. Its description in RNAcentral is "bacterial LSU rRNA". It matches the Rfam family "Bacterial large subunit ribosomal RNA", at positions 1564 to 2808 of the family's 2925-position model. The record is from RNAcentral.
UGAAUACGAGAUGCUACGGCGUCGAAGCAGUCUAUGUCAUACUUCCAAGAAAAGCUCGCACUGUCAUAAACAAAUAAUGCCUGUACCAUAACCGACACAGGUGGGUUGGUAGAGUAUACUAAGGGGCGCGAGAUAACUCUCUCUAAGGAACUCGGCAAAAUGACUCCGUAACUUCGGGAGAAGGAGUGCCUUAUUUAUAAGGUUGCAAUAACAAGAUCCAAGCAACUGUUUAUCAAAAACACAGGUCUCCGCUAAGUCGUAAGACGAUGUAUGGGGGCUGACGCCUGCCCAGUGCCAGAAGGUUAAAGAAGUUGGUUAGCAUUCGCGAAGCUGAUAACUGAAGCCCUGGUGAACGGCGGCCGUAACAAUAACGGUCCUAAGGUAGCGAAAUUCCUUGUCGGGUAAGUUCCGACCCGCACGAAAGGCGUAAUGAUUUGGAUACUGUCUCGGAGAGGGGCUCGGUGAAAUAGACUUGUCUGUGAAGAUGCGGACUACCUGCACCAGGACAGAAAGACCCUAUGAAGCUUUACUGUAACUUGAGAUUGAAAUUGGACUUUACUUGCGCAGUAUAGGUGGGAGGCGUUGAUAAUAUUCUUGCGGGAUUAUUUGAGCCAUCAGUGAGAUACCACUCUUGUAAUGUUGGAUUUCUAACUUUGUAUCAUUAUCUGGUCAAAGGACAGUUUCAGGCGGGCAGUUUGACUGGGGCGGUCGCCUCCUAAACGGUAACGGAGGCGCACAAAGGUUUCCUCUGAACGGGUAGAAAUCGUAUCUAGAGUGUAAAGGCAUAAGGAAGCUUGACUGUGAGACCUACAAGUCGAGCAGGGACGAAAGUCGGUCUUAGUGAUCUGACGGUGCUGAGUGGAAAGGCCGUCACUCAACGGAUAAAAGUUACUCUAGGGAUAACAGGCUGAUCUCCCCCAAGAGUUCACAUCGACGGGGAGGUUUGGCACCUCGAUGUCGGCUCAUCGCAUCCUGGGGCGGUAGUACGUCCCAAGGGUUGGGCUGUUCGCCCAUGAAAGCGGUACGCGAGCUGGGUUCAGAACAUCGUGAGGCAGUUCGGUCCAUAUCCGGUGUAGGCGUUAGAAUAUUGAGAGGAGCCUUCUUUAGUACGAGAGGACCGAGAAGGACAUACCUCUGGUGUACCAGUUAUCGUGCCAACGGUAAACGCUGGGUAGCUAUGUAUGGAGUGGAUAACCGCUGAAAGCAUCUAAGUGGGAAGCCCACCUCAAGAUAAG